This 726-nucleotide ribosomal RNA is filed under the name uncultured Colwellia sp. RNAcentral describes it as "bacterial SSU rRNA". It matches the Rfam family "Bacterial small subunit ribosomal RNA", at positions 61 to 777 of the family's 1533-position model. The record is from RNAcentral. Lineage: Bacteria; Pseudomonadati; Pseudomonadota; Gammaproteobacteria; Alteromonadales; Colwelliaceae.
GUCGAGCGGUAACAUUUCAAGCUUGCUUUGAAGAUGACGAGCGGCGGACGGGUGAGUAAUGCUUGGGAAUAUGCCUUAUGGUGGGGGACAACAGUUGGAAACGACUGCUAAUACCGCAUAACGUCUACGGACCAAAGGGGGGGAUCUUCGGACCUCUCGCCAUUUGAUUAGCCCAAGUGAGAUUGGCUAGUAGGUGAGGUAAAGGCUCACCUAGGCGACGAUCUCUAGCUGGUUUGAGAGGAUGAUCAGCCACACUGGGACUGAGACACGGCCCAGACUCCUACGGGAGGCAGCAGUGGGGAAUAUUGCACAAUGGGGGAAACCCUGAUGCAGCCAUGCCGCGUGUGUGAAGAAGGCCUUCGGGUUGUAAAGCACUUUCAGUUGUGAGGAAAGGGAUGUAGUUAAUAACUGCAUUCUGUGACGUUAACAACAGAAGAAGCACCGGCUAACUUCGUGCCAGCAGCCGCGGUAAUACGAGGGGUGCAAGCGUUAAUCGGAAUUACUGGGCGUAAAGCGUUCGUAGGCGGUCUAUUAAGCAAGAUGUGAAAGCCCAGGGCUCAACCUUGGAACUGCAUUUUGAACUGGUAGACUAGAGUACUGUAGAGGGUGGUGGAAUUUCCAGUGUAGCGGUGAAAUGCGUAGAGAUUGGAAGGAACAUCAGUGGCGAACGCGGCCACCUGGACAGAUACUGACGCUGAGGAACGAAAGCGUGGGGAGCGAACAGGA